GAUAGAACCCACGUGGGAGGAUCCUGAAAAUGCAAGUGGGGGAAAGUGGUCUGUUACCAGUACUGGAAAGGCCAAUCUUGACUCCAUGUGGCUUGAGACGUUAAUGGCUUUGAUUGGAGAGCAAUUUGAAGAGAGUGAGGAGAUCUGCGGAGUUGUUGCAAAUGUCCGCCAGAGACAGGACAAGAUCGCACUUUGGACAAAGAGAGCAAGCAAUGAAGCUGUUCAGACUAGUAUCGGGAAGAAAUGGAAGGACAUCAUUGACGUCCAAGAUAAGAUUGCAUACAGCUUCCAUGGAGAGAAAGCAAGCAGGAGCGGGCGUUACAGCGUCUGAAGGCCGUGUUGUUUAUUGCGGGUUACUGCUUUUGUUUUGCUUCGUUAAGAGCAAUACUUGGUGUUCUCUUUGAUGGAUUGUAGUUUUUGUGUUCGGUACUGUUUUACUGAAUUCCGAUGCACUAUGGUUGUAGUGUUU
This 469-nucleotide unclassified non-coding RNA is filed under the name Hevea brasiliensis (rubber tree). The record is from RNAcentral. Lineage: Eukaryota; Viridiplantae; Streptophyta; Magnoliopsida; Malpighiales; Euphorbiaceae.